This 508-nucleotide ribosomal RNA is filed under the name Vibrio sp. S3(2010). Its description in RNAcentral is "bacterial SSU rRNA". It matches the Rfam family "Bacterial small subunit ribosomal RNA", at positions 33 to 520 of the family's 1533-position model. The record is from RNAcentral. Lineage: Bacteria; Pseudomonadati; Pseudomonadota; Gammaproteobacteria; Vibrionales; Vibrionaceae.
ACGCUGGCGGCAGGCCUAACACAUGCAAGUCGAGCGGAAACGACAACAUUGACCCUUCGGGUGAUUUGUUGGGCGUCGAGCGGCGGACGGGUGAGUAAUGCCUGGGAAAUUGCCCUGAUGUGGGGGAUAACCAUUGGAAACGAUGGCUAAUACCGCAUAAUAGCUUCGGCUCAAAGAGGGGGACCUUCGGGCCUCUCGCGUCAGGAUAUGCCCAGGUGGGAUUAGCUAGUUGGUGAGGUAAGGGCUCACCAAGGCAACGAUCCCUAGCUGGUCUGAGAGGAUGAUCAGCCACACUGGAACUGAGACACGGUCCAGACUCCUACGGGAGGCAGCAGUGGGGAAUAUUGCACAAUGGGCGCAAGCCUGAUGCAGCCAUGCCGCGUGUAUGAAGAAGGCCUUCGGGUUGUAAAGUACUUUCAGCAGUGGGGAAGGUUCAUGCGUUAAUUGCGUAUGUAUUUGACGUUACCUCUCAAAAAAGCAGGGGUUUUCUCCGUGUCAGCAGACGGUG